GAUACCCUGGUAGUCCACGCAGUAAACGAUGAAUGCUAAUUGUCCGUUGCGAGUGAGCGAUGGGUGAUACAGCGAAAGCGUUAAGCAUUCCACCUGGGGAGUACGCCGGCAACGGUGAAACUCAAAGGAAUUGACGGGGGCCCGCACAAGCGGAGGAACAUGUGGUUUAAUUCGAUGAUACGCGAGGAACCUUACCCGGGCUCAAACGCCGUCUGACGUAGGCUGAAAGGCUUAUUUCUUCGGACAGACGGCGAGGUGCUGCAUGGUUGUCGUCAGCUCGUGCCGUGAGGUGUCGGCUUAAGUGCCAUAACGAGCGCAACCCCUGUCGACAGUUGCUAACAGGUUAAGCUGAGGACUCUGUCGAGACUGCCGGCGCAAGCUGUGAGGAAGGCGGGGAUGACGUCAAAUCAGCACGGCCCUUACGUCCGGGGCGACACACGUGUUACAAUGGCAGGUACAGCGGGAAGCCACCCGGCGACGGGGCGCGGAACCCGAAAACCUGUCUCAGUUCGGAUUGGAGUCUGCAACCCGACUCCAUGAAGCUGGAUUCGCUAGUAAUCGCGCAUCAGCCACGGCGCGGUGAAUACGUUCCCGGGCCUUGUACACACCGCCCGUCAAGCCAUGGAAGCCGGGGGUACCUGAAGUACGUGACCGCAAGGAGCGUCCUAAGGUAAAACCGGUGACUGGGACUAAGUCGUAACAAGGUACC
This 709-nucleotide ribosomal RNA is filed under the name uncultured bacterium. Its description in RNAcentral is "bacterial SSU rRNA". It matches the Rfam family "Bacterial small subunit ribosomal RNA", at positions 781 to 1500 of the family's 1533-position model. The record is from RNAcentral.